UGUUAAAUACUAAUUACAUAUAGGGACAUAUAAUAUUUCAAUUUCACUAAUUAAUUAAAAUCCUUUUGAAGGACGUGCCUAUUUUGUUGGACUUUCUUCCUCCCUUAAUCCAAUUUCACUCAAACACUUUCAAUUUUCCUACCAUUCAUUUCAAACACUUCUCGUUCCGUCUUCUUGCGGCCUCCGGCGAGGCCGCGCUCGGACGAGGCGUCACCCUUCUCAUGUGUCCCCUCUCUGAUUCACUUUUCUCCAACAGCUAAUUCAAGCCCUAGCUUUUUAAUCAUCACAAUAUUCUGCCGCCGCACUGGGGAUUCCGGCGAGCCCUAGUCUCUCCCAAAAGAAAGAACCUCGCUGCCUCUCUCUUCGCCUGGAUUCGGCGAUUGCCAUCUCCUAGCCUCUACCUACCGUCGACUUCUCCCACUGCUGGACGGAGCGGAGCAGCCCGCGUUUGCCAACGCCGACUCCUGAAGCUGCGUCGCCAUUUGCCAUACACCCGGCUCCGACAUCGCAGUCGCUCCACCGCCUCACUUCCAGGGGAGUCACCGCCGUUUCCAUGGACGGCAGCCUUCGGUUAAACACCGCCCCUCUUCCUCUGGCCAUCUGUGGCUGGACGUUGGAGCAGGGCAGCGUCACCCAUUUCCGGUUCUCACAAGCUCAAGGGAGUCUCUCACAAACAGGUAAGCUCUCUAAGUAGAAUAUUAAUCAACAGCCCUUAGCUAAACUCUUCUCGCCCCAAUCGAAGAAGCCUAGGUUUUUAUUGAAGUAGGUGAACAAGGGAAUCAAAAUUCCAAACAAGAUACAUCUUGUUGCUCUGCAAUUCUAGGAAGAUGAUACUACAAGUGGAACCUAAUGAUAAUGAGAUUGUGGAUAUCAGUGUGAACAGGUGUUGAUUUUGUAAGUGUAGAUGUUCUCUUACAUAUUCAAGUAUGAUCAAGGUACCUUAACCAUAUUAAUAUUGUCUGAGGUAUUCUAGCAAUGCAGAGCUGGGAAAGAGCAAUGCAUGUUUUAAUUACGUUGUCAAGAAUGAAAUGAGUUCAUUGAUAUCCAUUUAUUCAA
Long non-coding RNA from Salvia miltiorrhiza (redroot sage), 1056 nucleotides. RefSeq lists it as uncharacterized. The transcript has 2 exons. The record is from RefSeq and is a predicted model, not a curated record. Lineage: Eukaryota; Viridiplantae; Streptophyta; Magnoliopsida; Lamiales; Lamiaceae.